Molecule: ribosomal RNA, 1613 nt
Filed under: Proteus mirabilis
Lineage: Bacteria; Pseudomonadati; Pseudomonadota; Gammaproteobacteria; Enterobacterales; Morganellaceae
Description: partial 23S ribosomal RNA
Rfam family: Bacterial large subunit ribosomal RNA
Source: RNAcentral
GUUGGGUAGGGGAGCGUUCUGUAAGCCUGCGAAGGUGUACUGUGAGGUAUGCUGGAGGUAUCAGAAGUGCGAAUGCUGACAUAAGUAACGAUAAUGCGGGUGAAAAACCCGCACGCCGGAAGACCAAGGGUUCCUGUCCAACGUUAAUCGGGGCAGGGUGAGUCGACCCCUAAGGCGAGGCUGAAAAGCGUAGUCGAUGGGAAACGGGUUAAUAUUCCCGUACUGGUGGUAACUGCGAUGGGGGAACGGAGAAGGCUAGGUUGUCCGGGCGACGGUCGUCCCGGUUCAAGCAGGUAGGCAGAGUGAUUAGGCAAAUCCGGUCACUUAAUGCUGAGAUGUGAUGACGAACCACUAAGGUGGUGAAGCAAUUGAUGCCCCGCUUCCAGGAAAAGCCUCUAAGCUUCAGGUUACCAACAAUCGUACCCCAAACCGACACAGGUGGUCAGGUAGAGAAUACUCAGGCGCUUGAGAGAACUCGGGUGAAGGAACUAGGCAAAAUGGUGCCGUAACUUCGGGAGAAGGCACGCUGGCGGUAGGUAAAGUCCCUUGCGGACGGCGCUGAAGCCAGUCGAAGAUACCAGCUGGCUGCAACUGUUUAUUAAAAACACAGCACUGUGCAAACACGAAAGUGGACGUAUACGGUGUGACGCCUGCCCGGUGCUGGAAGGUUAAUUGAUGGGGUCAGCCGUAAGGCGAAGCUCCUGAUCGAAGCCCCAGUAAACGGCGGCCGUAACUAUAACGGUCCUAAGGUAGCGAAAUUCCUUGUCGGGUAAGUUCCGACCUGCACGAAUGGCGUAAUGAUGGCCAGGCUGUCUCCACCCGAGACUCAGUGAAAUUGAACUCGCUGUGAAGAUGCAGUGUACCCGCGGCAAGACGGAAAGACCCCGUGAACCUUUACUAUAGCUUGACACUGAACAUUGAGCCUUGAUGUGUAGGAUAGGUGGGAGGCUUUGAAGUGUGGACGCCAGUCUGCAUGGAGCCAACCUUGAAAUACCACCCUUUAACGUUUGAUGUUCUAACCUAGGCCCAUAAACUGGGUCGGGGACCGUGUCUGGUGGGUAGUUUGACUGGGGCGGUCUCCUCCUAAAGAGUAACGGAGGAGCACGAAGGUUGGCUAAGCAUGGUCGGACAUCAUGCGGUUAGUGCAAAGGCAUAAGCCAGCUUGACUGCGAGAGUGACGGCUCGAGCAGGUACGAAAGUAGGUCUUAGUGAUCCGGUGGUUCUGAAUGGAAGGGCCAUCGCUCAACGGAUAAAAGGUACUCCGGGGAUAACAGGCUGAUACCGCCCAAGAGUUCAUAUCGACGGCGGUGUUUGGCACCUCGAUGUCGGCUCAUCACAUCCUGGGGCUGAAGUAGGUCCCAAGGGUAUGGCUGUUCGCCAUUUAAAGUGGUACGCGAGCUGGGUUUAGAACGUCGUGAGACAGUUCGGUCCCUAUCUGCCGUGGGCGUUGGAAGAUUGAGAGGGGUUGCUCCUAGUACGAGAGGACCGGAGUGAACGCACCACUGGUGUUCGGGUUGUCAUGCCAAUGGCAUUGCCCGGUAGCUAAGUGCGGAAGAGAUAACCGCUGAAAGCAUCUAAGCGGGAAACUUGCCUCGAGAUGAGUCUUCCCUGUC